RNAcentral lists this unclassified non-coding RNA (353 nucleotides) under uncultured fungus. RNAcentral describes it as "partial contains small subunit ribosomal RNA, internal transcribed spacer 1, and 5.8S ribosomal RNA". The stretch from base 1 to 73 matches the Rfam family "Eukaryotic small subunit ribosomal RNA", at positions 1759 to 1831 of the family's 1831-position model. The record is from RNAcentral. Lineage: Eukaryota; Fungi.
GCAAACUUGGUCAUUUAGAGGAAGUAAAAGUCGUAACAAGGUAACCGUAGGUGAACCUGCGGUUGGAUCAUUACAAAAUUCAGGUCAAUGCCACCGAAAGCACCCGCAAGGGACUUUGGUUGGCGGCGACUAAUCCACUUUGUGAACUCGACUGUUUUUUUUUUUGUGAGAAGGGUCUGGGAUCCGUCCUGUAACCGGGGCUGCGUUCCCUUACCCGGGCCUCUUCCCUCAACGGGGUUGGGCCGCACAAACUCGAAUCAAUCUUUACGUUCUCUCUGAUGCAAAUAUAUAAAUAAUGAGAAACAACUUUAGACAACGGAUCUCUUGGCUCUCGCAUCGAUGAAGAACGCAGC